This 1110-nucleotide long non-coding RNA is filed under the name Felis catus (domestic cat). RNAcentral's name for it is "lncRNA (ENSFCAG00000048976.1)". The record is from RNAcentral. Lineage: Eukaryota; Metazoa; Chordata; Mammalia; Carnivora; Felidae.
UUCCAACCCUUCCCUCCCACCAGUGAGGAGGAGGGGAGGGAUCUGAGGAAAAGAAGAUUGGUGUGGGGAGGGAGGGAGGGAAGAAAAGGAAUUUCAGUCCCGGUGGUCCAGGCUUCUCACCCUUUGGGAUGUGACUUGCCUCGGUUUCUCCUCCCUAAGUCCCCGCUCCUGGACAGGCCUCUGCCCAAACUUGAGUUCCACUCUCCCCGCUCUCUUCCACAGCCUCCCCUUCUAACUGAAGCAACACUUUGCAAAGAGGUCACCCUGCAGAGGCACGCUCAGGGCCACCUCAAGUCUGGGCAGUCAGGCUCCAUUUCACCCCGGGACUUCUGGGGGGAAGGCCGGAGUCUGGGGCUUGGCCUCGUGGAUAUCUGGCCCUGGACCCAGGCCCCGGGCAGGCCCCGGGGCCGCUGCCCUCUCCGUAGGCAGGUGUUGCUACAGGCUGGAAUUCUUCGACACCGCUGGGGUCCAGCCUCCCGGCCAGGCUCGGCCUGCCAGGGCCCUGUAGGAUGCCACCCACGUAGACAGGGUGGAGGGGACCUCCCGUCCGGUGGCCACCAAGGGGCUGGGGUGAGAAGUCAGAGGGGCCCCCCAGCCGGCUGGGGCUCCUGCUCUGCCCCUGCCCCCUCCCAAGUUGCAAGGAAUCUGAGCCACAGCCCCUGCCCCGGGAGCACCGGGAAGCCUCCCCCCCCCCACCCCCCCAGGCUGGAGGAGACAAAAGCGGUUGGCACCUACCUGGGGUGGAAGAAGGGUGUUGGCUGGGGCAGGUGGAUGCUGCCCGGGGCGGUGAGCCAGAGCCGGGCCGGCCGCCGGCCCCCUGGGCCGCCCUCCUCUCCUCCCCGGCUCGCCUCAGCCGCUCGCUGCUGUCCUGGUGCGGCGGUGGCGGCCGCGGUGGCGGUGGCGGGCGAGGGCGCUUGUGUGUGUGCGCGCCCGGAGCCACUGCAGCAUCUCUGCAUCAAGAUGUGCUCCUCCCUCUCCCAGGCUCCGCUCACUGGCUGGCUCCGGUCCUCAGCCAACGCUCGGGGGCCCUGGAGAUGGCUUCCUUCUGCCCCCCUCCCACCCCCUUCCCGUCCCCACCCUUCUGGCUUUACCUCAUUUGCUGUCAUUUAA